CUUGGAGAUAAAAGUACCUCAGAUUGAAAUUCAUCACUGGACUCUGUGUUUGGCUUUUGGUGUCGACAUCACUCUUGACUUUGAAAGAAGGACUCUCGUGAUUUUCAGCCAUGAAACUUCUGGUCCUCAUUCUGUGCUUCAUAGCUUUAAGUUAUGCAUUUCCUGUCUCUGAGGAGAAUGAUCGAGUCAAACGCUCAGGGAGUUAUGAGAUGAGCCGAUUCAUGCUUCAGUAUCCGUCACUCUACUCCAGCUAUCAACCCAACUUGACAGCGUUGCUGCAAUUUCUGUUGGCAGCAGGGAAAUGAAAAUCGGUUUUCUCACCUUCAGCAUUUUGUUCUUUAAGUAACUGAAAUUGAAUAAACAAAUCAUUAAAAAUAAACAAAUAAAUGA
Sebastes umbrosus (honeycomb rockfish) is the source of this 390-nucleotide long non-coding RNA. RefSeq lists it as uncharacterized. The transcript is spliced from 4 exons. The record is from RefSeq and is a predicted model, not a curated record. NCBI's taxonomy places the organism in Eukaryota, Metazoa, Chordata, Actinopteri, Perciformes, Sebastidae.